This 684-nucleotide long non-coding RNA is filed under the name Chloebia gouldiae (Gouldian finch). Its description in RNAcentral is "Erythrura gouldiae (Gouldian finch) lncRNA (ENSEGOG00005010659.1)". Lineage: Eukaryota; Metazoa; Chordata; Aves; Passeriformes; Passeridae. The record is from RNAcentral.
ACGGAGCCGCUGUGGGAAUGGCUCCCCGCGGCGCCCGGGCGCUGGGAUCCGGCUCUGGGAUCUGGGAUGGGAUCCGGGUUUGGGAUCUGGGAUGGCAUCGAGGCCCUGGAGCACAGCGAGGGCUCCCUACGGAGCCCAGGCGCUGGGAUCCGUGUUUGGGAUCCGGCUCUGGGAUCCGGGAUGGGAUCCAGGAUUGGGAUCGGGGAUGGCAUCGAGGCCCUGGAGCACAGCCAGGGCUCCCUACGGAGCCCAGGUGCUGGGAUCCGUGUUUGGGAUCCGGCUCUGGGAUCCGGGAUGGGAUCAGCCAGGGCACGGAGCCGCCGUGGGAACGGCUCCCCGCGGCGCCCGGGCGCUGGGAUCCGGCUCUGGGAUCCGGGAUGGGAUCCGGGAUGGGAUCAGCCAGGGCACGGAGCCGCUGUGGGAACGGCUCCCCGCGGCGCCCGGGCACUGGGAUCCGGCUCUGGGAUCUGGGAUGGGAUCCGGCUCUGGGAUCCGGGUUUGGGAUCCGGGCUGGCAUCGGCCAGGGCACGGAGGGAUCCGGCUAUGGGAUCCAGGAUGGGAUCCGGGUUUGGGAUCUGGGAUGGCAUCGAGGCCUUGGAGCACAGCGAGGGCUCCCUGCAGCACCUGGGCUCUGGGAUCCCGUCUGGGAUCCGGGUUUGGGAUCCCAUCUGGGAUCCGGGUUUG